Molecule: ribosomal RNA, 325 nt
Filed under: uncultured eukaryote
Lineage: Eukaryota
Description: partial 18S ribosomal RNA
Rfam family: Eukaryotic small subunit ribosomal RNA
Source: RNAcentral
CCCUUAGAUGUUCUGGGCCGCACGCGCGCUACACUGAUGCAUUCAACGAGUCUAAAACCUGGUCUGAUAGGGCUGGGUAAUCUUUUGAAUGUGCAUCGUGAUUGGGAUAGAUGAUUGCAAUUCUUCAUCUUCAACGAGGAAUGCCUAGUAAACGCAAGUCAUCAGCUUGCAUUGAUUACGUCCCUGCCCUUUGUACACACCGCCCGUCGCUCCUACCGAUUGGAUGGUCCGGUGAAGCCUCGGGAUUGUGGCGGUUGCCUUUAUUGGUGGCCGCCGCGAGAACUUGUCUAAACCUUAUCAUCUAGAGGAAGGUGAAGUCGUAACA